RNAcentral lists this long non-coding RNA (1724 nucleotides) under Panax ginseng (ginseng). Its description in RNAcentral is "long non-coding RNA (PGIN_LNC017458)". The record is from RNAcentral. Lineage: Eukaryota; Viridiplantae; Streptophyta; Magnoliopsida; Apiales; Araliaceae.
CAGGGAAUGUACAAAAUAGAAAACAACAAAACUUUGAACUGACAUUACACAUGAUAAAAUUUUACUAAAACAACAUUUUGGACUCAUAUUCAUAAACAACACAAUACUAAGAACAAACAUCAGAACACGUUCAGUCUUUUGCCACAAUACUAAAACAUUACAUCAAAAAUACCAAACCAAACUAAGAAUCUUCUCAAAUCAUCAGAACUUGUGGGGAGGGAGCAGCGUUCAGGACCCGAAUGUGAGAUACUACAUCUGCAAAUAGAAAACAAACAAAAUUUAUAAUAUGUAAUAUAAAUAACUUGGGCAGAUUGAUAAUAACAGAAAAACUAAAGAAAACAGACAGCAUAAAUUCACAAUAUUAGUAGCUUAACCAUGAAAGGCACAACUACCUGACUUGUAAGUGAUACCAUAAGUCGCUCCCAUGAUUACUACAAUUCUGAAGGACCCUCUGUACAUAAAAAAAAUCCAAAUUAAUAGCAAAGUCAGUUAUACAAGUGUUGUUAAUAGCAAAGUCAGUUAUACCUGUGGGUGAAUCACAUUCAUCAUCUACACUUGGAUCCUGAGUAGCAUCAACAUUUGAUUCUCCAAUUCUACAUUUUCACAAAUAGCAAAGUCAAAUUUAAACUAAUAGCAAAGUCAAUUGUAAACAAAUAGCAAAGUAGCAAUAAGUAAGAACAUUUACCGAUUAUUAAGCGCCGGACAUUUUCUUUACACCUAGACAAACAGAAAUUUACUUGAACUUGUGAAAUCACCGAUUAAAAAGAUAAUACAAUCAUACACAAACACCUAACAAGUCCCUAUAACAAAUGAUACAGGACAGUAACUCCAAUGUAUACCCAUUAUUGCCAUUGGGAAAUAAAAAAGGUUGACACUUGAAAAGAAAAAGAGAGAUAGACUUACAAAAUAAAGCUUGAAAAGACACACAUACCAACUACUUUACUAUCUUCUAGGAAGAAUUUAACCAGAGUAGUAAUGUGAGGAAUCGUAUGUAUUUCAUUGGACCAAAAAGGUAGCAGCAAAACCUUCAUUACCUAGUCAAGUGAAAAUUCAUUUUAAUCUAACAUAACAAAAUUGAAAUGCAUUAAGCUUGUCCCAAAUUCACAAUAAUAUUCCAAAAAAAGACACAACAUUGAGCAGUUUAAAAAAAAAUUAAAAAAAAAUUUGAGGGCAUUACUCUGACCUACAUUGAGGGCUUCAAAUUAAGGGUUCUAUUUACAACAAAAAAAUCAGAUCAAGUUCAGGGUUCUAUUAACAACAACAAAACCUAAAUUUAAAAAAAAAAACAGAAAUGAAGAAGAAGGUAAAAGGCUUUGAGGGCAUUACUCUGAGCUACACUGCGGGCUUCUCCAAUUUGUGAAGAAUUCGAUUUUCAAGGGUCACGAACUGAGGGGAUCAAGGGUCACGAACUGACGACUCUCGCUAAUCGAUUUUUAACAAUCGAUGUUCUGAAUCUAGGGCUUGUGAGAGCACUCUGGGCUUCGAUUUUCUAGAGGGGAUCAAGGGUUACGAACUGAGGGCUUCGACGUCGAUUUCUGUGGCAUGCUUCGAUUUGCAGAAGAUUUUUGAGAGGCGGGUAGUGUAGCGAGGAGAGCCUUAUCAACACAGCUUCUAGUUUGAGAGCUAGCGAGGAGAGAGAUUAAAAAAAAGCCGUGUUUUCAAAUUGGAAUGCUCUUUAAGGUUGGACUGCUCUUUAAGCAGGUUACUCUUGAACGGGGCCGNNN